CAAAGGAAUUGACGGGGACCCGCACAAGCGGUGGAGCAUGUGGUUUAAUUCGAAGCAACGCGAAGAACCUUACCAAAUCUUGACAUCCUCUGACCCCUCUAGAGAUAGAGUUUUCCCCUUCGGGGGGACAGAGUGACAGGUGGUGCAUGGUUGUCGUCAGCUCGUGUCGUGAGAUGUUGGGUUAAGUCCCGCAACGAGCGCAACCCUUAAGCUUAGUUGCCAUCAUUAAGUUGGGCACUCUAAGUUGACUGCCGGUGACAAACCGGAGGAAGGUGGGGAUGACGUCAAAUCAUCAUGCCCCUUAUGAUUUGGGCUACACACGUGCUACAAUGGACAAUACAAAGGGCAGCGAAACCGCGAGGUCAAGCAAAUCCCAUAAAGUUGUUCUCAGUUCGGAUUGUAGUCUGCAACUCGACUAUAUGAAGCUGGAAUCGCUAGUAAUCGUAGAUCAGCAUGCUACGGUGAAUACGUUCCCGGGUCUUGUACACACCGCCCGUCACACCACGAGAGUUUGUAACACCCGAAGCCGGUGGAGUAACCAUUUGGAGCUAGCCGUCGAAGGUGGGACAAAUGAUUGGGGUGAAGUCGUAACAAGGUAGCCGUAUCGGAAGGUGCGGCUGGAUCACCUCCUUUCUAAGGA
RNAcentral lists this ribosomal RNA (640 nucleotides) under Staphylococcus epidermidis. Its description in RNAcentral is "bacterial SSU rRNA". It matches the Rfam family "Bacterial small subunit ribosomal RNA", at positions 902 to 1533 of the family's 1533-position model. Lineage: Bacteria; Bacillati; Bacillota; Bacilli; Caryophanales; Staphylococcaceae. The record is from RNAcentral.